RNAcentral lists this ribosomal RNA (493 nucleotides) under Clostridioides sp. ZZV14-5902. RNAcentral describes it as "bacterial SSU rRNA". It matches the Rfam family "Bacterial small subunit ribosomal RNA", at positions 1 to 521 of the family's 1533-position model. Lineage: Bacteria; Bacillati; Bacillota; Clostridia; Peptostreptococcales; Peptostreptococcaceae. The record is from RNAcentral.
UUAUUUGAGAGUUUGAUCCUGGCUCAGGAUGAACGCUGGCGGCGUGCCUAACACAUGCAAGUUGAGCGAUUUACUUCGGUAAAGAGCGGCGGACGGGUGAGUAACGCGUGGGUAACCUACCCUGUACACACGGAUAACAUACCGAAAGGUAUGCUAAUACGGGAUAACAUAUUUGAGAGGCAUCUCUUGAAUAUCAAAGGUGAGCCAGUACAGGAUGGACCCGCGUCUGAUUAGCUAGUUGGUAAGGUAACGGCUUACCAAGGCGACGAUCAGUAGCCGACCUGAGAGGGUGAUCGGCCACAUUGGAACUGAGACACGGUCCAAACUCCUACGGGAGGCAGCAGUGGGGAAUAUUGCACAAUGGGCGAAAGCCUGAUGCAGCAACGCCGCGUGAGUGAUGAAGGCUUUCGGGUCGUAAAACUCUGUCCUCAAGGAAGAUAAUGACGGUACUUGAGGAGGAAGCCCCGGCUAACUACGUGCCAGCAGCCGCGGU